GCGAGGUAGAGCAAAUCUCAAAAAAACAUCUCAGUUCAGACUGCAGGCUGCAACUCGCCUGCACGAAGUCGGAAUUGCUAGUAAUCGUAGGUCAGCAUACUACGGUGAAUACGUUCCCGGGCCUUGUACACACCGCCCGUCAAACCAUGAGAGUUGGCAACACCCGAAGUCGGUAGUCUAACCGCAAGGAGGACGCCGCCGAAGGUGGGGUUGAUGAUUAGGGUUAAGUCGUAACAAGGUACC
RNAcentral lists this ribosomal RNA (243 nucleotides) under uncultured bacterium. RNAcentral describes it as "partial 16S ribosomal RNA". It matches the Rfam family "Bacterial small subunit ribosomal RNA", at positions 1257 to 1500 of the family's 1533-position model. The record is from RNAcentral.